CAGCAGCCACGGUAAUACAGAGGGUGCGAGCGUUAAUCGGAUUUACUGGGCGUAAAGCGUGCGUAGGCGGCUUUUUAAGUCGGAUGUGAAAUCCCUGAGCUUAACUUAGGAAUUGCAUUCGAUACUGGGAAGCUAGAGUAUGGGAGAGGAUGGUAGAAUUCCAGGUGUAGCGGUGAAAUGCGUAGAGAUCUGGAGGAAUACCGAUGGCGAAGGCAGCCAUCUGGCCUAAUACUGACGCUGAGGUACGAAAGCAUGGGGAGCAAACAGGAUUAGAUACCCCAGUAGUCCCUGUCUCUUAUCC
RNAcentral lists this ribosomal RNA (301 nucleotides) under uncultured bacterium. RNAcentral's name for it is "partial 16S ribosomal RNA". It matches the Rfam family "Bacterial small subunit ribosomal RNA", at positions 509 to 809 of the family's 1533-position model. The record is from RNAcentral.